GAAAAAAUGCGUGAUGGCGACAUCGAGUACUUCAAAAGUACUACAGCAUGAUUCUCCAGCAGCUUGAUUUUGUUUUAAGCCUUAUUGGAAGAGACCUUCAAAGGCGUUGCUGCAUUAGAAAGCCCAUUUCUUCAGCGGAACGACUGGCCAUGGCGCUCAGGAAGAAGCGGAUAUGGAGGAAGAAUCGGAAGACCAGUGGGAGGCUCUGCUGGUGACGCAAGACCCUGACAGCCAGCUACGGUUGGCGAACAAGGCUCGGGCGGCGGCAGCGAGCCAUGGCUACCUGGACUGAGGAGGCCACCCACCUUUGGGCUCAAGAAGCCUGGUAUAACAAUAAAGUUUAUUUCUCUCUCUCUC
This is a long non-coding RNA of Dermacentor andersoni, 357 nucleotides long. RefSeq lists it as uncharacterized. NCBI's taxonomy places the organism in Eukaryota, Metazoa, Arthropoda, Arachnida, Ixodida, Ixodidae. The record is from RefSeq and is a predicted model, not a curated record.